AGUGAACGCUGGCGGUAGGCCUAACACAUGCAAGUCGAACGGCAGCACAGUAAGAGCUUGCUCUUACGGGUGGCGAGUGGCGGACGGGUGAGGAAUACAUCGGAAUCUACUUUUUCGCGGGGGAUAACGUAGGGAAACUUACGCUAAUACCGCAUACGACCUACGGGUGAAAGCAGGGGAUCUUCGGACCUUGCGCGAAUGAAUGAGCCGAUGUCGGAUUAGCUAGUUGGCGGGGUAAAGGCCCACCAAGGCGACGAUGCGUAGCUGGUCUGAGAGGAUGAUCCGCCACACUGGAACUGAGACACGGUCCAGACUCCUACGGGAGGAAGCGGUGGGGAAUAUUGGACAAUGGGGGCAAGCCUGAUCCAGCCAUACCGCGUAGGUGAAGAAGGCCUUCGGGUUGUAAAGCCCUUUUGUUGGGAAAGAAGAGCAGCAGGUUAAUACCCCGCUGUUCUGACGGUACCCAAAGAAUAAGCACCGGCUAACUUCGUG
RNAcentral lists this ribosomal RNA (492 nucleotides) under uncultured bacterium. RNAcentral describes it as "partial 16S ribosomal RNA". It matches the Rfam family "Bacterial small subunit ribosomal RNA", at positions 29 to 507 of the family's 1533-position model. The record is from RNAcentral.